AAUAAGGUUGUAGACAGUGUUACGAGAAGACAUUUACAAGUCUAUUAGCAUAGGUCCAUACUUUUACUGGGUCAGUUCAAUUUGCAGAUUUGUUCCCUCUGUUUAGAGCAGUAGUGAGGAAAGAAGUGCAGCUUUCCCCUUGGUUUAAAACCUUUGGGAGACAAAUAAACCUCAUAGAAAAGAAGUCCUUCAUCAUAAGUUUCACACCAUGAUCUAAUAGUGGAGUCAUUUUAUCCUGGUGUUUUGGUUGUUACAGCUGAAAAUCAUUGGGAUAUACCAUUUUCAAUAGCAAUUGAUCUUGAUUCUGUGACUACCACUGACUCUUCUGGUGGUUCUGUUAUACUUAAUUCAAGCUAUUCGAAAGCAUU
Molecule: non-coding RNA, 368 nt
Organism: Cajanus cajan (pigeon pea)
Lineage: Eukaryota; Viridiplantae; Streptophyta; Magnoliopsida; Fabales; Fabaceae
Source: RefSeq, a predicted model, not a curated record